AGUGAACGCUGGCGGUAGGCCUAACACAUGCAAGUCGAACGGCAGCACAGUAAGAGCUUGCUCUUACGGGUGGCGAGUGGCGGACGGGUGAGGAAUACAUCGGAAUCUACUUUUUCGUGGGGGAUAACGUAGGGAAACUUACGCUAAUACCGCAUACGACCUACGGGUGAAAGCAGGGGAUCUUCGGACCUUGCGCGAUUGAAUGAGCCGAUGUCGGAUUAGCUAGUUGGCGGGGUAAAGGCCCACCAAGGCGACGAUCCGUAGCUGGUCUGAGAGGAUGAUCAGCCACACUGGAACUGAGAACCGGUCCGACCUCCAAGGGAGGGAAGAGGUGGGGAAUAUUGGACAAUGGGGGAAAGCCUGAUCCAGCCAUCCCGGGUGGGUGAAGAAGGCCUUCGGUUUGUAAAGCCCUUUUGUUGGGAAAAAAAAGCAGCAGGUUAAUACCCCGCUGUUCUGACGGUACCAAAAGAAUAAGCACCGGCAAACUUCGU
This 491-nucleotide ribosomal RNA is filed under the name uncultured bacterium. Its description in RNAcentral is "partial 16S ribosomal RNA". It matches the Rfam family "Bacterial small subunit ribosomal RNA", at positions 29 to 506 of the family's 1533-position model. The record is from RNAcentral.